CCCUUUAGAAUCUGUACCCACAUACGGAUCUUUAGCUUUUAAGCAACUUUUUAUAAUCUGUCCCUACAGACUUUUAAUUUGUUUUAUUUAAAAAUUCAGGAAAAACUUCCCAAUGAUUUAGUAGCUUAAGUACUGAGGAAGAAAGUAAGUAGCUUUCGAAAUACGUAUUUACUAACUAUUAAAAUAUAUUGUAGUAGGAGCAAGCUACCUAGUUUUAUUUUUAUUUAGUCUAUAAAAUUCUAUUUUGUUUGACUUUUGUAAGUGGACGGACGUAAUUUCUAGAAUUUAAAAUGAAAAAGUUGAGUGUAGAUGAAAAGGAAAAAUUUAUAAAGAUUUUAAAAGAAAAUAGUGCUGUGUGGGAUUUGUCCGAAGCAGGGCAUCGAAAAAGUACGGCAUUGGCUGCCGCUUGGGAGAAGAUUUCCAAAGAAAUGAAAAGACCAGUUGCGGAAUGUAAGACCAUUUAAAGAUCUUUUAAAGAUUUAGCACGUUAUAGGGGAAGGAAAAAACAGUGCCAAAAAUUCGGCAGUGAGCUAAUUCAAGAUGAAAGUGAAUCUCCCGAAACUUCGAUUGGCAAUGAAGAAGAUUGUGCAGAAUUUUCAGUUUGUUUGGAUUUUUUGCAGCCGAAUUCGUCCAAAAGAAGGACUUUUUCAACAAGCACAAUAGCCACCGAGGAGGAUGUUUCGAGCCCUGCAUCAAAUGGUUCGCAGUACAAUUUCAAUGCACAGUGUUCUUCAUCAUCGCAGACAUUAAAACCUGCUACCGACUUGACGAAAGUUAUUUCCGAUAUGAUAGCAAUCAAAAAAUCAAAACUCGACGAGCCGAAAUUAAAAUAUAUGUCUAUGCAUGCCAACCUCGACCGACUAUACUGCCAAUUGCCCGCCGACGAAGUCGAAAAAUUAAAUCACGAGUUUUUUAAUAAAACUUUUGAAAGGGUUAUGGCCCAUAAAAACAACGGAAAUUUAUAGAAUAAACUAGAAUAUGUGUUACAUGAUAAAUAAAUAAAUUUGUGUUUGAAAAA
Long non-coding RNA from Hermetia illucens (black soldier fly), 1018 nucleotides. RefSeq lists it as uncharacterized. The transcript is spliced from 4 exons. NCBI's taxonomy places the organism in Eukaryota, Metazoa, Arthropoda, Insecta, Diptera, Stratiomyidae. The record is from RefSeq and is a predicted model, not a curated record.